GACGAACGCUGGCGGCGUGCUUAACACAUGCAAGUCGAACGGAAAGGCCCUGCUUUUGUGGGGUGCUCGAGUGGCGAACGGGUGAGUAACACGUGAGUAACCUGCCCUUGACUUUGGGAUAACUUCAGGAAACUGGGGCUAAUACCGGAUAGGAGCUCCUGCUGCAUGGUGGGGGUUGGAAGUUUCGGCGGUUGGGGAUGGACUCGCGGCUUAUCAGCUUGUUGGUGGGGUAGUGGCUUACCAAGGCUUUGACGGGUAGCCGGCCUGAGAGGGUGACCGGCCACAUUGGGACUGAGAUACGGCCCAGACUCCUACGGGAGGCAGCAGUGGGGAAUAUUGCACAAUGGGCGGAAGCCUGAUGCAGCAACGCCGCAUGCGGGAUGACGGCCUUCGGGUUGUAAACCGCUUUCGCCUGUGACGAAGCGUGAGUGACGGUAAUGGGUAAAGAAGCACCGGCUAACUACGUG
RNAcentral lists this ribosomal RNA (467 nucleotides) under uncultured bacterium. RNAcentral describes it as "partial 16S ribosomal RNA". It matches the Rfam family "Bacterial small subunit ribosomal RNA", at positions 28 to 507 of the family's 1533-position model. The record is from RNAcentral.